GAUGAACGCUGGCGGCGUGCCUAAUACAUGCAAGUAGAACGCUCAAGGAGGAGCUUUCUCUUCUGGAUGAUUUGCGAACGGGUGAGUAACGCGUAGGUAACCUGCCUGUUAGCGGGGGAUAACUAUUGGAAACGAUAGCUAAUACCGCAUGACAACAGUUAUUGCAUGAUAACCGUUUAAAAGGGGCAACUGCUCCACUACCAGAUGGACCUGCGUUGUAUUAGCUAGUUGGUGAGGUAACGGCUCACCAAGGCGACGAUACAUAGCCGACCUGAGAGGGUGAUCGGCCAACCUUGGACUGGGACACGGCCCAGACUCCCAAGGGAGGCAACCGUAGGGAAACUUCGGGAAAGGACGGAAGUCUGAACGAGCAAAGGCGGGGGGGUGAAGAAGGGUUUCGGAUCGGAAAGAUCUGUUGUAAGAGAAGAAAGAGUGUGAGAGUUGAAAGUUCACGCUGUGACGGUAUCUAAUCAGAAAGGGACGGCUAACUACGUG
RNAcentral lists this ribosomal RNA (495 nucleotides) under uncultured bacterium. RNAcentral's name for it is "partial 16S ribosomal RNA". It matches the Rfam family "Bacterial small subunit ribosomal RNA", at positions 28 to 507 of the family's 1533-position model. The record is from RNAcentral.